RNAcentral lists this transfer RNA (92 nucleotides) under Salipiger pallidus. RNAcentral's name for it is "tRNA-Ala". The record is from RNAcentral. Lineage: Bacteria; Pseudomonadati; Pseudomonadota; Alphaproteobacteria; Rhodobacterales; Roseobacteraceae.
GGUGAACUGGGCCAACGAGGAAGGCGCGCGGUUCGCACCCGCGAUGAUGGCGUCGGGCGUGUUCGCCGGCGAGAUCCCUCUCGAGUACGCCU